CCAUUGCUCAUGUCCCGAUGACGCCAGCUGCCAUGUCAGGCUCAUUACUGGACAGAUGCAAAGUUUGGGGAAACUGUUCCUAAGCCCCAGUUAGACUGCUUCUCCUUUCCCUCCACUGCCUACAUCUUCAUCCCCAAUUUGUCUUCCUGUUGAAGUCUUUUCAUCCUUCAUAACCAAGUCAAAGACCACCACUGUGUCCUGCAUGCCCCUGCCAUCUGACAGUGAGGAUGGACCAUUUGAGUAGUUCUGGUCAGACCCAGGACUCAUCCAGACCAACACACUGACCCGUAGAAGGGCAUCCUGGAAAGCUAGAGCUCAAAAGGACUUCGAGAGGGAAGGACCUGGAUCACUGCUGUGCAAUUGGACAUAGGGGUCUGGAGAUGGUGCAGAGAUGAAGCCACUGAAUGGCUGAGUGGGACCUGCAGCUCGGGUCCAGCUCCUGCUCAGCAUGGGAGUGGGGCACAGACACCUGCCUGGAGCUAUGUUUGUUACCUAAAAAUUCCGCCAAUGAAAGAAAGUGGGUGGACAGAGUCUCAC
Long non-coding RNA from Mus musculus (house mouse), 537 nucleotides. RefSeq annotates it as predicted gene, 34627. The record is from RefSeq and is a predicted model, not a curated record. The transcript is spliced from 4 exons. Lineage: Eukaryota; Metazoa; Chordata; Mammalia; Rodentia; Muridae.